AGUCUUCUCCAAAUACCCUAUAGACUUUCUUUUGCUCUGUUUUCACAAAAACGCAAAGUUUGAAUCUUUGAAAAUCGUACGGAACCAUGAUGAACGGCGGUCGGCACCAAAACAAAUUCGCAUGGAAGCCCAACCUCGGCGUCAAGAUCAACGAAACCGAGGUCGGAGGCCGGUUCCGGCCGCUGUCGGAAAUCACGGGGGUCUGCCAACGCUGCAAGGAACAGAUCGAGUGGAAGCGCCGUUACGGAAAGUACAAGACCCUGACGGAGCCCGCCAAGUGCCAACGCUGUACCAAACGCGCCGUCCGGCAGUCCCACCAUAAGCUCUGCGCUGCUUGCGCCAAGGAACAAGGUGUUUGUGCCAAGUGCUGCUGCCGUGUCGAGCAAAUCGUCGGAAAAGACCUCGCGGAAGUGGAGGCUGAGCAGAAGAAGCUUCAAGAGGCGAUAAAAAAUGCAAGAGAAAGAGAUAGGAGGAGUCUGUUGCGUGCGAUGAAUGCUGGAAAAUCUGCGGGUGUAGCGAAAGCUGCAGGCGAGAAAGGAAGCAAAGCGGGGGACUUGUUCCCCUCCGCGUCGCUUGAAGAAUAUGCAGCGGCAACCAGAGACGAUGAUGAUGAUGUGAAGGAGGAUGGUGAAGGUGAAGGUGAAGAAGAUGAGACGCAGGUUUGCAAUUAAAAGAGGUACUAAGUAGUAUUUCGGUAGCAAACAUGUCGGUUAGGCCAGUUGGUUAUGAUCGUGUAGAGUGCCCAUCUUUUGCACCCAGGUUCGAAAUGGCGUGCAUCUUUGUACUAUCAGUGACAAAUUGGGCAAAGAUAUUCUCACUUCUUCAACACCGUUGUAGAAGAUCAAGAUGCAUUGCUUUUGGGGGUUUCUUGGGUUAUAAGCAAACUGCCUAUAAAGUAUGCUGGGCACCUAGGUAAGAUCUAAAACUCAGUAGAAAAAUAAGAGAAAUUGAACUUCACUCUUCAAGUCAACAGCCUCGAGAUGGAAUGAUCCAUGGCAUGCCCCCAGAUGAUUUCGGAAAGAACUCAGAAGCGUUUAGUUCAUGGUGUGAUCCAUUGCCAGGAAGAAGACUACUCUUGUCUUGUUUCGAAAGAAACCACAGCCGAAGAGGCUUCUUCAAAUGCUCAGGCCUUUGGAAACAAGCCUGGGACACUCCAACGAACGAGUCUGAAUCAGCAGAGUUCACCAUUGACGAAGUUCUAAGCUUAAAGCCAGGGGAGAUAAGAAUCGGCCUAGACUUUAGCCCGACCAUGGGAACGUUUGCUGUAUCAUGAAGGAAAAGAACAUUACCAUUGCCUCUGGUACCUUAAAACUUAUGGGCUCCUUUUAAUAAGGUAAUCGCCUAAGAGGAAGAUCGGCUCGAGGCUGCCUUUCUUCAACAUUAUCCAUUCCACUCUGUUCUUGGAUGGCUGGAUCGGAGCUGAAGUCCUUCGGUUUGCGUUGUUUGAUUGGGAACGCAUCCUUCCGCCGAAGGGUCUUCGUUGGAUAGGCAGAUUCUUCUGUCACAAGGAGGACAUGAAGUUGCAUAUGGAUGAGUUUAAGAGGUUAGGUUACAAGCCAUUACUCAGGGUGGCGCCCAAGACUGAUAUGCUUGGACAUGAGCUUUUCAUCUCAGCUGUUUUGGAGAAGCCAAUCAGAGGUUAAUUAUUGUCGUUAACAAGUAAAUUUCUAAAUAUCUUCGUGUUUAAACGAGUAAUAAUUGUCGUUAAUUCAAUCGGGUUAAGGAA
RNA transcript from Pyrus x bretschneideri (Chinese white pear), 1726 nucleotides. RefSeq lists it as uncharacterized. NCBI's taxonomy places the organism in Eukaryota, Viridiplantae, Streptophyta, Magnoliopsida, Rosales, Rosaceae. The transcript has 4 exons. The record is from RefSeq and is a predicted model, not a curated record.